Molecule: ribosomal RNA, 253 nt
Filed under: uncultured bacterium
Lineage: Bacteria
Description: partial 16S ribosomal RNA
Rfam family: Bacterial small subunit ribosomal RNA
Source: RNAcentral
UACGUAGGGUGCGAGCGUUAAUCGGAAUUACUGGGCGUAAAGCGUGCGCAGGCGGUAGGUUAAGUCUGAUGUGAAAGCCCCGGGCUCAACCUGGGAAUGGCAUUGGAAACUGGCUUGCUGGAGUGUGGCAGAGGGGGGUGGAAUUCCGCGUGUAGCAGUGAAAUGCGUAGAGAUGCGGAGGAACACCGAUGGCGAAGGCAGCCCCCUGGGCCAACACUGACGCUCAGGCACGAAAGCGUGGGGAGCAAACAGG